This 1357-nucleotide ribosomal RNA is filed under the name uncultured organism. RNAcentral's name for it is "bacterial SSU rRNA". It matches the Rfam family "Bacterial small subunit ribosomal RNA". The record is from RNAcentral.
GUCGAACGAGAAUCCACGGCUUCGGCGGUGGAGGAGAGUGGCGCACGGGUGCGUAACACGUAGCUGACCUGGCCUUCGCAGGGGGAUAACACAGCGAAAGUUGUGCUAAUACCGCGUAGGCUGGUGGCGGUUAGAGAGCCAUCAGUAAAGCUUUAUGCGGCGAAGGAGGGGGCUGCGGUCCAUCAGCCAGCUGGUGAGGUAACGGCUCACCAGGGCGACGACGGAUAGGGGGCCUGAGAGGGUGACCCCCCAGACUGUAACUGAGACACGGUCCAGACUCCUACGGGAGGCAGCAGUAAGGAAUAUUGCACAAUGGGCGCAAGCCUGAUGCAGCAACGCCGCGUGAGGGAUGAAGGGUUUCGGCUCGUAAACCUCUUUUCUGUGUGAAGAGCACGGACGGUAGCACAGGAAUAAGUCUCGGCUAACUACGUGCCAGCAGCCGCGGUAAAACGUAGGAGGCGAGCGUUAUCCGGAAUUACUGGGCGUAAAGCGCACGUAGGCGGCGCUGCAAGUGGUGCGUGAAAGCUCCCGGCUCAACUGGGAGAGGCCGUACCAAACUGCGGUGCUAGAGACAGAUAGAGGUCGACAGAAUUCCGGGUGGAGUGGUGAAAUGCGUAGAGAUCCGGAGGAAUACCAGAGGCGAAGGCGCUCGUCUGGGUCUGUUCUGACGCUGAGGUGCGAAAGUUUGUGGGUCGAACGGGAUUAGAUACCCCGGUAGUCCACACCGUUUACGAUGCAUACUAGUUGUUAGGUGCUUACGGGCGCUGAGUGACGAAGCCAACGCGUUAAGUAUGCCGCCUGGGGAGUACGGUCGCAAGGCUAAAACUCAAAGGAAUUGACGGGGGCCCGCACAAGCAGCGGAGCGUGUGGUUUAAUUCGAGGCUACGCGAAGAACCUUACCUGGGCUUGACAUGGUAGUAGUACCCUGGUGGAAACACCGGGGGACCUUCGGGAGCUAUCACAGGUGCUGCAUGGCUGUCGUCAGCUCGUGCCGUGAGGUGUUCGGUUAAGUCCGAAAACGAGCGCAACCCCUGGCGUUAGUUACAAGUGUCUAACGCGACUGCCCGGGGAAACUGGGAGGAAGGUGGGGAUGACGUCAAGUCAGCAUGGCCUUUAUGUCCAGGGCGACACACACGCUACAAUGGCCGGUACAAUAGGCAGCCAAGCCGCGAGGUGGACCGAAUCCAACUAAACCGGUCUCAGUUCAGAUUGUAGGCUGCAACUCGCCUGCAUGAAGUCGGAGUUGCUAGUAAACGCGGAUCAGCCACGCCGCGUUGAUACGUUCCCGGGCCUUGUACACACCGCCCGUCACGUCAUGGAAGCUGGUCACGCCUGAAGUCGGUGAGCGAACCGAAAG